UCCUACGGGGGGCAGCAGUGGGGAAUAUUGCACAAUGGGGGAAACCCUGAUGCAGCAACGCCGCGUGAGUGAAGGAGUAUUUCGGUAUGUAAAGCUCUAUCAGCAGGGAAGAGAAUGACGGUACCUGACUAAGAAGCCCCGGCUAACUACGUGCCAGCAGCCGCGGUAAUACGUAUGGUGCAAGCGUUAUCCGGAUUUACUGGGGGUAAAGGGAGCGCAGGCGGUGCGGCAAGUCUGAUGUGAAAGCCCGGGGCUCAACCCCGGGCCUGCAUUGGAAACUACCGAACUAGAGUGUCG
RNAcentral lists this ribosomal RNA (297 nucleotides) under uncultured bacterium. RNAcentral's name for it is "partial 16S ribosomal RNA". It matches the Rfam family "Bacterial small subunit ribosomal RNA", at positions 337 to 651 of the family's 1533-position model. The record is from RNAcentral.